Molecule: non-coding RNA, 73 nt
Organism: Dama dama (fallow deer)
Lineage: Eukaryota; Metazoa; Chordata; Mammalia; Artiodactyla; Cervidae
Source: the annotation of a RefSeq genome assembly
GCCUGGAUAGUUCAGUUGGUAGAGCAUCAGACUUUUAAUCUGUAGGUCUAGGGUUCGAGUCCCUGUUCAGGCA